GAAUUGUUUCAUCGUGCCCCUGUGUCUUCAUGUAUAUUUACCACACUUAACGAUGAGCCCUUCCCCAGGCAAUGUAGGACCCAGAGCUCUGUCCACAUCCUCCCGCUCUCCAGAACACAGUGCUUGAUGGGGAGAAAGGAUGGGGGUCUUUUUUUUUUUUUAAGAUUUUUCCUUUUUAAAAAAUAUUUUCUAAUGUUUUACUUUAUUUUUGAGGGAGAGCAUGAAUGGGGGAGGGGCAGAGAGAGAGGGAGACAGACUCUAAAGCAGGCUCCAGGCUCUGAGCUGUCAGCACAGAGCUAGACUCGGGCCUGAACCCACAAACCACCAGAUCAUGAGUUGAGCCGAAGUCAAGAGUCGGAUGCUUAACUGAGCCCCCCCCAGACUCCCCAGGAGGACUUUCGAAGCACCCCAAUGAUAGCAUCUUGAGAAUAAGUGUAUGGUGGUACCUGGGAAGCCCACGCUUAGCUGUGGCCACGCAUAGUGGUUUGCCUGUGAGAGUUCCAGGAGCUUUACAACACUUCACAAAAAAUUUAUGAAAUUAAGCAAUGAGAUUUCUUCUCCAUGUUUGUUUUUUGAGUUUAUUGGGAACCUUGCUCAGCUAUGCGUUUCAUUGUGGUGGUUGUAGCUGUGAUUUGGCAGCUGGAAAACUGCUGAGGUUGACUUAGAAGCCCCCGUGUACUCAGGAGUAAAGCACCUGAGAAACACCAGGAGGAGGAAAGAAUCCGGACUUGCCUGCACGGCUGGAACUACAGGGUUCUCCCCAAGACUCUGGGGGAAAUGCAAAUCACCCAAACCAUAGCUAAGCACCCACCAAAAUGGCCCCCUCCCCAAACCACUCUAGGUCCACUAUCCCUGAAGCCAACUCAGGCACGCUGACCCCUCCAGCAGUCUGUAACCACCCCCCGCCCCUCGCUCUACCCCUGCCCCCUGCCAGCUUCACACUGACUCCUGGGCCUUCUUGGCAGCAUUUCCAAGUUAGGUUUUCUGCCACCUGCGCUUGGGCUGAUUUCCUCCCAUCAUGUAUCCUUCCGUGUUUACAUUGAGGAUUCAAACCUGGGUGAGUCUCCACGUUGUGUCAAGGUGUGCCUCCAGCUCCCAGUUCUGACCAGCAGCAAAGCAUCAUCAAACCUGCGGGGAUGGGACCAGGAUGGGGGGGGACAGGGGACUCUCUCCAAGCCAGGUGGAAAUCACCUUGUCACCCUCAGCCCAUGGGGAUUGUGUGAUUGUGCGUGUGUAUCUGCAUACCAGGCUUUUGGGUGUCCCUGUGCCAUGGCUGUCUCACAAGUCUCCCCAGAGUAUUUGUGCAUUCGUGUCCUCAUAUCUGCGAGGGUGCGUUGGCACCGCCUCUGGGGCACAAGCCCCUGGUGCAAGCUCCACAAGCCGGCUGUGUGUCCCUUGUCUAUUGCACCUGUUUUCUGCCAGGGCACGGUAUAAUGCGUGUGUGUGGCUUGUUGAAGGGCACCAGCACGCCUCGCUGGUCAUACAGGGUCCCUGGGAUGUAUGUAGGGGCUUCCGGGUUCUGCUGAGGGGUGUCCUAAUCUCACACGUGUCACACUCCAUGUAUCUCCCGGAGUGUCACAUUGCACAACUGUCCACCUGGCGUAGACCUGAAAUACCCGUCUCACAAAUACCUACUUUACAAGAAAUACAGAGGAAGGUGUGUAGGAGUUAAAGCAAAUUAAGAAGAAACCCUGGGCGCCUGGGUGGCUCAGUAGGUUGAGUGUGGGACUUCCGCUCAGGUCAUGGUAUCAGAGUGCACGGGUUCGAGCCCCUCAUCAGGUUCUGUGCUGACAGCUCAGAGUCUGGAGCCUGCUUCUGAUGCUGUCUCCCCCUCUCUCUGUGCCUCCCCUGCUUGUGCACCUCUCCCUCCCUCUCUCAAAAGUAAAUAAAUAAAUAUUAAAAUUUAGAAAAAAAAAACCAAUUCUCCUUGGUACAAAAAAAGGGAAGAGACUUCCCUAGUCUUCCCUUAGAGCAUUGUAAGGGUUAAAUUGUAGUGUAGGGCUGACAGGUAGCUUGAAAAAUAACAGCUUUGUUCUGACACUGAAGGUCAAGAGAUAACAGCCUUGCUUUACUCUUGUAAAUUAUGCUUCAUACUCUUGUAAAUCAGGCUUCACCAACCAAGGAAACAAAAGCUCAAAGAAAAGAGCAUCAGAGGCAAGGUCAAGAAGAUCCACUGGUUGCAACUAAGCGGCAGAAAGUCUAAAAUAAUCACCUCAUCUGGCAACUGUUUCUAACUCGUCUGGGAACUGUUUCUCUGUUCUGUUCCCAGGUGAUGAUAAAACGAUGUGAUCGGCCAUAAAAACUCUGUACGCCGGCUGUUCGAGGCCGCACUCUUAUCAAGAGUGUCUGUCCCGAUCUGUCGGCCUUGCCUCUCAUUGCAAUAAACUUUGUUGUGACUGUCACUGGUGCCCGUGGCAUUCCGUUUCAGGAGUCGGGUGGAUGCAACAUUUGGUGCAUUGGCCGGGAGAGUUAAAGGUCUGAAACAGGGCCCUUUCCUCGGAUUGCUCCGCCAACCCCUGGGAGGAGGCUCGGGAUUGGGAGAGGUAACCCUAUUGCAAUAUGUUGAGGAUAUCUUGUUGGCGGCCCCCUCUCAUUUAGAAUGCCUGAGUGCCACCAGAGAACCCUUGAGUCUUCUGCAAAAACUGGGGUACCGAGUGUCAGCCAGAAAAGUGCAGAUCUGUCGUACUGCGGUGACCUAUUUAAGUUACAACCUUCAAAAGGGAAGUGCUAUCUCGGUGAACAAAGAAUUCGGGCUAUACUCGAUAUUCCUCAGCCUAAAACUCGCAAACAAGUUUGCGAGUUCUGGGGGCAGCAGGCUACUGCAGAGUAUGGAUAACUGGUUUUGCUGAACGGGCAGCCCCUUUGUACGCCACUCUCAAGGGGUCUCCAGAGUCCUUCACGUGGGGGGAGACUCAAACUAAAGCCUUCCAAGCCUUACGAGAGGCUCUCAUGACCCCACCGGCCUCGGCCCUGCCAGAUCCCACCAAGCCAUUCCAGUUGUUUGUAGCCGAAAAGGGGGGGUAGCCGAGGGAGUUCUGACUCGGCGUCUGGGACCUUGGCGCCGACCGGUGGCCUAUUUAUCCAAGCGGCUGGACCCAGUUGCUUCCGGGUGGCCCCCACGCGUUCGACAAAUUGCCACCACCACGCUCUUAGUUGAAGACGCAGACAAACUAACCUUGAGGCAGGCACUGUCUGUCACCGGGCCCCACGAAGUGGAGGCUUUACUGCGGGCUCCCCCAGAGCGACGGCUGUCAAAUGCUUGGAUUACCCAAUAUCAAGUGUUGCUACUCGACCAGACCCGAAUACGUUUUUGUGCCCCCGCAGCCUUAAACCCAGCCACUCUGCUGCCCGAAGGACAAGGUCCCCCUCUGCACUCCUGCCCAGAAACCUUGGCGACGAUCUCGUCCCUCCGCUCCGCUCUUACGGACGUUCCCUUACAGGACCCUGAUAUCAGCAUGUUUUCAGGCGGCAGUAGUUUUGUGUUUCAAGGGCAAAGGCACGCCGGGGCUGCAGUGACGACGGACCGCGAGGUUUUAUGGCAACAGACCCUUCCCCCGGGAACUUCAGCCCAGCACGCAGAGCUCAUCACUCUAACAAAAGCCCUCCAACUCGGAAGAAACAAGCAGUUCAUAUUUAUACAGACAGCCGCUAUGCUUUUGCAACCGCGCACGUAUACGGAUCCAUUUAUCAAGAGCGCGGUCUCCUCACGGCGGGAGGCAAGGCCAUCAAAACUAAAGCUGAAAUUUUAGAUCUUCUAGCAACCAUCUGGGAACCUGCGAGGCUGGCAAUCAUUCACUGCCCGGGACGUCAGAAAGGCGACUCCCUAGAAGCAGUCGGAAACCGCCUGGCUGAUGCAGCAGCCCGAGAAGCUGCCCCAACUAAAAGCAAAAGUGCCUUGGAGCUACCGAUCUUGACCGAGGGAGCCCAGUUACACUCCUAAAGAUUUGGAGUGGGUUUCAAGAAAAGGGGGAAGUAUGAUGCCGGGACAAAAGUGGUCUCAGGAUCCUGAAGACCUCCACCUAUCCUGCCGAGGCUAGGAGGCGACGUAAUGGAACAGUUGGAACAGGACCGCUUGCUGGCUUCACUCGUGGCCCUGCAACAUGUACAAAAGGAAAUAACCAGGGCCUUAAAAGAAGCCUUCGCUCAUCCUCCUGUUCUUCCCCACCCCUUUCAACCAGGAGAUUUAGUCUGGGUCAAGAGGCACGAGCUUAAAACCCCGGAGCCGCUCUGGAAAGGACCACACGCCGUGAUCCUGACUACACCCACGGCCGUGAAGGUAGAUGGUGUCCGAACCUGGAUUCAUGACUCUCAGGUUAAAAAAAAAAACUGUGUGAAGGCAGGAACACCCCAGACUGAUACGGAACCAGAUAAUGAACAGCAAUGGAAGGUCCGAAGGCACUCAGAGGAUCCUUUAAAGGUAAGACUGAUGUGGGCAUAAUAAUAAUAAUUGUCUGGGUUUGUAUAAUGAUAAGUGUGGGGGACUGUAUGGAAUUGCAUCCCCUAUCUUUUUGGCCAUACCACUGGGAACUCAGGGACACUGUCACGGGGAAGGUGAUAGCAUCUAAUACCUCUUCCACUGUGCCUUGUUUUUUGUUUGAUUUAUGCGACUUGGUGAGGGACUCAUGGGGGACUUUUAAUUACUAAUUAUAAACAGCCAACGGGCUUCGCUCCUCCGGUCCCCGAAAACCCCUAUAUGGUUACCUAUGGAUGUGGACACAGGGAUCAAGAACAAAAAUUGGCUAACAUACCAGGGUUCUACAGUUGCCCUGCAAAUAGGAAGGUCGAAUGUGAAGGAAAAGGCCAGCAAUAAUUGGUAUCAGAAUUUAUUCUCUUGGACCCCCUGGCUCACAUCACUGCUCACCACCAUAGCUGGGCCACUGCUAUUGUUACUUCUCGGGUUAACUAUCGGCCCAUGCAUUAUCAAUUGGUUAGUACAGUACGUCAAGCGGCGAGUUGGUGAAAUAAAAAUUAUGAUGAUUAGGUCCAACUACGUCCCCUUAGUUCCUAAUGAUGAAUCAAGGGAUUUAUUCACUGACAAGAAAAGGGAGAAAUGUAAAGAUUAAAGUGUAGUGUAGGGCUAACACCUAGCUUGAAAAAUAACAGCUUUGUUCUGACACUGAAGGUCAAGAGAUAACAGCCUUGCUUUACUCUUGUAAAUUAUGCUUCAUGCUCUUGUAAAUCAGGUUUCACCAACCAAGGAAACAAAAGCUCAAAGAAAAGAGCAUCAGAGGCAAGGUCAAGAAGAUCCACUGGUUGCAACUAAGCGGCAGAAAGUCUAAAAUAAUCACAUCUUCUGGCAACUGUUUCUAACUCAUCUGGCAACUGUUUCUAACUCGUCUGGGAACUGUUUCUCUGUUCUGUUCCCAGGUGAUGAUAAAACGAUGUGAUCGGCCAUAAAAACUCUGUACGCCGGCUGUUCGAGGCAGUACUCUUAUCAAGAGUGUCUGUCCCGAUCGGUCGGCCUUGCCUCUCAUUGCAAUAAACUUUGUUGUGACUGUCAUUGGUGCCCAUAGCAUUCUGUGUCAAGAGUCGUGUGGAUGCAACAGCAUUUCCCUUGGCGAACUUUUAAUGACCCCCUGGAAAGGAGGCGCACAUCCACGCCAUCCAGGGCGCACGAAACCGGUCACGUGCAGGAUCCGGAAGCAGAAACAGAGGAGCUGGGACUAGGCCAAGAGGCGGUGGCCGGGAAGGAGGUAGGCGGGAAUGCCCCCUACUUGGCAGGAGGCAAAAUCUCACAUUGUACAGUCUGCGAGUCCGAGGUGGGGAGGGCGAAGCCUGGACGUCGAGGCGGCAGGCAGCGCGCCCUCGAUGGCCGGGAUCCAGAUGCGUCUGGGGACGUUCGCGCCGGUUGUCGGGCGCCAUCUGGUGGCUCCUCUUAGACGGAGCCACCCUCCAGAGCUCCGGCGAAAUCGACAAGGGGUGGGAUUUGGCGGCGGUACCCGAGGAAGGGUUCCAGGAGGCCGGGGGCGCUGGCGGGAUCAUCCCGGGGUCGCCGGCGCAUCGCCGCGCAUCAGUUCGUUGGAGAUUGAAUGCGCCGUUCUACUAGGGAGUGGCUCGUAGGCCCUCCCGGGGAAGGGUGAACGUCGACCGGCACCUGCUGGUGCCUCUCUGCCUGCGGGAACCCAGUGUGGCGCCGCGGGGGAAGGGGAGAGGGUGCCCCGCGCCUAGAGGCGGUCGGCUCCGGAGGGGCAGGCCGGCCCGGGACGUGCGGGGAGGCCGGGGUAAGGUGCCCGGGGCCGGCCGCGGCUCCCCGUGGGGUCCGGUGGUCGGAGGCGCCUCCGCCGAAGUUCUCCCAAGUCCCAACCGAUAGCCGUGGAUGCACCGGCCGCGCCCCGGGGGCCGGGGAGGGCGGACCCCGGCGGCACUUGUGCCUGCGUGGUUUCUUGCGCUCGAUUUUUCGGAAUCCUGCUCCGGAGACGAGGAGCGUCACGGAACGUGCAGGGUGGCGGGGAUAAGGUGCUCGGGGUCUGGCCGCGGUUCCCCACGGGGCCCGGCGGUCGGAGAUGCCUCCACGGAAGUUUCUUCCAACCCGUCUUCUGUUCCGGACGGGCAGCUGCGCAUGCAGACAGACGGGAGGACGUAGCCGGCCCGCGGCGGCCCCCGCGCGUUCCGAGCGCCUCGCAGACACGACCGACGUUGAGUCGGCCAGGUGGCCCCAGGAGCUCCGGGGUUGCAGCGAUGGGAUCGUGUUGGGGGGGCCAGUAGUUGAACCCAGGAGGCUCCCGUGA
Long non-coding RNA from Acinonyx jubatus (cheetah), 6728 nucleotides. RefSeq lists it as uncharacterized. Lineage: Eukaryota; Metazoa; Chordata; Mammalia; Carnivora; Felidae. The record is from RefSeq and is a predicted model, not a curated record. The transcript has 4 exons.